AGGUAGGAGCACAUUAGCACUAACUUACCGGACCAUAUAAGAACUCUACAGUUAAGCGUGCUUAGGUGAGAACGGUUGUAAGAUGAGUGAUCUCCCGGGAAGUUCCCGGGUCGUACACC
This 119-nucleotide ribosomal RNA is filed under the name Cephalotus follicularis. The record is from RNAcentral. Lineage: Eukaryota; Viridiplantae; Streptophyta; Magnoliopsida; Oxalidales; Cephalotaceae.